This 261-nucleotide ribosomal RNA is filed under the name uncultured bacterium. RNAcentral's name for it is "partial 16S ribosomal RNA". It matches the Rfam family "Bacterial small subunit ribosomal RNA", at positions 100 to 354 of the family's 1533-position model. The record is from RNAcentral.
GAACGGGUGUGUAACACGUGGGCAACCUGCCCAAAANAGGGGGAGUAACACUUGGAAACAGGUGCUAAUACCGCAUAACCAUAGUUACCGCAUGGUAGCUAUGUAAAAGGUGGCCAUGCUACCGCUUUUGGAUGGGCCCGCGGCGCAUUAGCUAGUUGGUGGGGUAAAGGCUUACCAAGGCAAUGAUGCGUAGCCGAACUGAGAGGUUGAUCGGCCACAUUGGGACUGAGACACGGCCCAAACUCCUACGGGAGGCAGCAG